RNAcentral lists this ribosomal RNA (671 nucleotides) under Streptomyces sp. KLBMP 4074. RNAcentral describes it as "bacterial SSU rRNA". It matches the Rfam family "Bacterial small subunit ribosomal RNA", at positions 67 to 755 of the family's 1533-position model. The record is from RNAcentral. Lineage: Bacteria; Bacillati; Actinomycetota; Actinomycetes; Kitasatosporales; Streptomycetaceae.
CGAUGAAGCCCUUCGGGGUGGAUUAGUGGCGAACGGGUGAGUAACACGUGGGCAAUCUGCCCUUCACUCUGGGACAAGCCCUGGAAACGGGGUCUAAUACCGGAUAAUACUUCCACUCGCAUGGGUGGGGGUUGAAAGCUCCGGCGGUGAAGGAUGAGCCCGCGGCCUAUCAGCUUGUUGGUGAGGUAGUGGCUCACCAAGGCGACGACGGGUAGCCGGCCUGAGAGGGCGACCGGCCACACUGGGACUGAGACACGGCCCAGACUCCUACGGGAGGCAGCAGUGGGGAAUAUUGCACAAUGGGCGAAAGCCUGAUGCAGCGACGCCGCGUGAGGGAUGACGGCCUUCGGGUUGUAAACCUCUUUCAGCAGGGAAGAAGCGAAAGUGACGGUACCUGCAGAAGAAGCGCCGGCUAACUACGUGCCAGCAGCCGCGGUAAUACGUAGGGCGCAAGCGUUGUCCGGAAUUAUUGGGCGUAAAGAGCUCGUAGGCGGUCUGUCGCGUCGGAUGUGAAAGCCCGGGGCUUAACCCCGGGUCUGCAUUCGAUACGGGCAGACUAGAGUGUGGUAGGGGAGAUCGGAAUUCCUGGUGUAGCGGUGAAAUGCGCAGAUAUCAGGAGGAACACCGGUGGCGAAGGCGGAUCUCUGGGCCAUUACUGACGCUGAGGAGCG